Molecule: long non-coding RNA, 1809 nt
Filed under: Eucalyptus grandis
Lineage: Eukaryota; Viridiplantae; Streptophyta; Magnoliopsida; Myrtales; Myrtaceae
Description: long non-coding RNA (EGRA_LNC004759)
Source: RNAcentral
AUAACUAUUCACAUCAAAACGGAGAUCUCAAAAGAAGACAAAAACUUAGAUGAACUAGGCCGUACUCAAGGCCUCUCUCAGAAUUGUCUUCUUCUUCCAAAAAUCCUUUUCUUCAUAUCUCACCUCCGAGUUCUCCUUCUCGGAUUCCUCCUCCUCAGCUCUUCAGCGGGGUCCUGAAAUGGUUUUCCCUAAACUGGGAUGAGACUACGUCUCAGCGAGUUCUACCCCACUAAGCCCGAUUAGUAAACCAUUAUACUAAAGGCUGCCUAAACACGCACAGGGCAGAUGACUUACCUUGGUCUCAGAUCCCACAUGCAAGUUAGUACAAUUCACAAUAGGCACCCAUUUACUUCAAACAAAUCGAAUCAGUCGAUUACAUGUCAUACAAUUCAAUCCCCACUGUGGAAUAUUUAAAAGCUAGGCCACGUGCAUUCUCCAGGAUGACCUUCCAAGUCUCCGAGCCACGUGCCUCAAACCUUGAACCCACGUGCAUUCUCUAAGGCGACCUCUUCGCCAAGGUGGUACAUCAAGCCACCAAGCCACAUGUCCUUUUUAUGAUGCCCGGGCCCACAUGCAUUCUCUAAGGUACUCGCUUACCAAAGUGACGCAUCAGAUCACCAAGCCACGUGCCCUUUUAGAUGCCAUUCCGAAUACUGGACCCACGUACAUUCUCUAAGGUACUCGCUUACCAAAGUGACGCAUCAGAUCACCGAGCCACGUGUCCUUUUAGAUGCCUGGGCCCACGUGCAUUCUCUUAGGUGCUCUCUCACCAAAGUGAUGCAUCAAUUCACCGAGCCACGUGCCCUUUUAGAUGCCAAACUCUGUCACCGAGUCACGUGUAUUCUCCAGGACGACAUACCGAGUCUCCAAGCCAUGUGCAUUCUCUCAGGCGACCUUUUCGCCAAGGUGACAUAUUCAACCACUGAACUCACGUGCAUUCUCCAGGUGACAUUCCAAUUCACCGAGCCCACGUGUCCUCUUUCGAGUGGUUACCAAUUUACUUUUAAUAUCGACAACCAAUGCCAACGAUUUCUCAAUCAAAUAAUUAAAUCAACUCAACAAAGCAUUAUAAAUACUGAAUAACAUACUUGGCCAUUUACCGAUCAACAAUUCAAUAUCAAUCAAUUCCAAUCAAUUUAGGGUAAAUCCCUAAAAUAUCACAAUUUAUUCAAUUACAUACAACGUGGAGCUCAAAUAAAUAAACAGACUGCGCCACGACGAUCAGCACGAGAUUUCGGUCGUCAGCCAUCAAAAUCUUAAUUUCCGAAAAUUAAUUAAUUAAUUAAUUAAUUAAUUAAUUAAUUUCGAAAAUUAAUUAUUAAUUACUAAAAAUUCAAUUUAGCUCAAAAUAAAGCCCGAUUAAAUAAAUGGACUUCACCACGGUCAUCAGCAUAAUUUUCCGGUUCCAGUCCAUCUCAGUUGAAUUUUCGGAAAAUAAAUAAUUAUUUAAUUUAAUUCCGAAAAUUAACAUUUAAAUACUAAAAAAAUCCACUUAGGCCCGAAAAGCCUAAUUGAAGCCCACUAAGGGUCGGGAAAAUUUCCGAGGCACUUCCAAUAAAUAGUAGACCACGUCUACUUGCUAAUUACACAUUCAAUUUAUCUAAUUUGCAUCACAAUUGACUAAUAAUUGCUAAUUUAAUCUAAUCUAACAACCUAAAUAUAAUUAAUUAAAUCUAAACCAAUAUUAAGCAUAAUUAGCCACUAAUCUUGGAUUAGUGAGAUUACUCACCAAAUCGCGCGCAAAUCGGAUCAAUCCGACGGCGGCGACGGGAGGAACGAUUGUUCCCAAAGCACGGCUCGGGUUUGGGG